Lathyrus oleraceus (garden pea) is the source of this 2255-nucleotide long non-coding RNA. RefSeq lists it as uncharacterized. The record is from RefSeq and is a predicted model, not a curated record. The transcript is spliced from 5 exons. NCBI's taxonomy places the organism in Eukaryota, Viridiplantae, Streptophyta, Magnoliopsida, Fabales, Fabaceae.
CACUCUUUAAAUUAAGCCCAAAUACGCGCUCACUCACUUGGUCGACGCUCUCUUGAUUGAAACGGCGUCUCGCCGUGGGCCACCGCGCCGGCCGUCACCCCCGGGCGGCGGUGGCCACCAAAGCCAACCAUAGGGAUGUCAGAAUGACCGUCUAUCCAGGCUCUACCCAAUUCCAAUGUCAAUUUCACAUAAUAUGGCCUCUAAAUCCCUAACCGAUCUUGAACGUCCCAAGAACCCUAACCUGGAAAGCUCUAAUUAAACUCUAUCCUCACUAAUUCAAAGCCCCAGGUGAGAGGGCUUUGAAUCCUCUCAUCAUGCUCUACAUGUUGGUGACAAAGAAAUGGGAAAACGUGAAGGUUCCAGAAGUACCUUGCCGGAUAAGACGAUUUGUCGACGAUGAGCUUCCAGGUAAAUGGUUCUGAAUCUUUCUCUCUUGCCUUAGCUUUCAAAUUCUCCACCUUCUUCUUCUUCUUAUGGAUCCAAGAGUAGUGGACUGAGAUAGCUUUGGUACUAGUGAAGAUGCUUAGCACAAUCUAUAUUGAAUCUCUGAUGAUGAGCUUCAAUGGCUUCUGAAUAGCGCGUGUAGUGAGGGUGAGAGAGAAAAUUCGAGAGGAUUGCAAUGAGUUGAGAGUGAUGAUGCCAAGAAGCUGAAAUAUUGAUAGAGGUGUCAAUUUAUAGAUGGUAGGUUUGGAGGAGAUAUGGUUUGGGAUUUGUUAUGGCUAGGCUUGGAGAUUGCUUGGGAGUUAGUUAGAAUGAACUCAGUGAGUUCAGUUGGUUAACUCACUGAGUUAGGGGUCAGUUCAAUUCAACAUGGUUAAUUGUUUAUUUCUUAAUGUUAGUGGAAUUAGUUCCCCCUUCAGGUUGACUGGCUAUUCUAGGUUGCAGCUUAAGUGGAUUUGGUCUUGUAGCUUGGUUUAUGACCUAUUGUAUAGGUUAAAGCAUGCUGCCAUGACUUGCGUCUCUAUUGUAUUAGACAAUGUUGUCGAUUUGUAUUGCAUCUAGAGCUAAGUUUGCAAUAACUUUGAAGUUGGAUUUAGCAUGGCCUUGUUGUACUAUGGGUUAUCCAAUACUCUGACUUGGUUUGCCUUGUAAUCCCAGCUUCCACAUGUUACACCAGUAUGUUGUUGUAUGUUGCAGGACAUGGUUCAUGCUGGUGAUGCUGCAGAAGGCAUUGCAUUGAUUCAGGUUGAGCAUUAUAGGUUCUAUUUGUGGCCAUGUCAUUGCAAGCUGCAACCUUCAUCUGGAUUGUGUAAUGUUGUUGUUUGGUUCAAUGCUUGUGUCCACUGCUGUUAAUGCUGGUUCAAAGCUUGUGUCUAAUGUUGUUAAUGAUGGAAAUAUCAAGGGUUUGGAGGUGGUUGUGCAGUGCUCCAGUUGGCAAGAACCUGGCACAUAAUGAGGCUUCAAUUCAGCACCACUGUCCAUUGAGCUGCUGCUAGUGACUCAAGGAUGCAUAGUUCAACUGUAAGCAAAUUUGACCAGUUCUAUCACUUGCAGAUUUGGUGGAACUUAGUCUCAAGGGGUUUUGGACAGAAGCACAUGUGAAUGUACUGCAUCGAUAGUGGUCUUUUUCUUUGUUUGGAACAAAUAUAGGGGCUUAUUGCAAGGGAGGAAGUGGAUUGAUCUGCAUGUUUCAGAAUGCCUCUUAACAUGAUUUGAACUGUUUUUUUUAACUACAGGAUCUAAUUUCUGGCAGGAUGACAAUGUAGGAGGCCCAUGGAGCAAGGGUGAUGGAUGCAAUCAAUGGUCUGUUUCUACUUGACAAUGUGCCAAUUGGUUUCCUUGCAGGAUGAUGGCAAGAUGGUUGUCAUAGUGAGUCUAGAACCAAACUCAUGAGUAUUCUUUUGUUCAAAUGGUCAAUGUGAGUGUAGUAUCAGAUCAUGUAACUAUGAUGCUAGGUUGUGGUGAAUGCAACACUAUGUUAGCAAUGCGAACCAAGGUAGGCAAGGCCAAAAGGCCAAGUCAUGGCAUGGUGCACAUGAAGUUGUAAAAGAGCCAAAUUACUUGGAAAUGAAGAUAUAAAGCCAAACACAUCAAACAUGACUUUUGGAUGAUGAAUCAAGGAAGAAAGGCUAGAUUAGGUCUUAGGUGGUCAAAAAUGGAUGAGUUGACUUUGGUCAAAGUUGACCAAAAAGUCAGUUGUUGACCAAAGUCAACCCUUGGUCAAAGUUGUAAAAGUAUGUAUUUUUUCAUGUAAUGACUAAUGUAAUGGCUUGUAAUGGUUAAAAUGGAUUGGGAUGGGUCAAAAUUGAUUUGAA